CUCUCUUUGCUGAGAUGAAAGGCCCACGUUGUAGAGAACAUUCUCCACUCCUGAUAAACAGGAUAUCGGACUCCCCUUGGAGAUGAUGCCUGCUCACCUGAGUCCAUCCCAGAUCACAGGAAAUCCUGAAGGAACUCUGUGGCCAACCCAAUACAUCAUAAUACUAACGUCACCAGGCUAUUGGGAUGAUUAACUAAGAGCCAAAGACAUGGCCCUGGUGGAUGUGAGCGGUCCAAGUCCUCAGGCAGCGGCUCUCAGCCCUGGCAGGUGGUACAGAGCCCACACGGGAACUUGAAGGUAUUGCCUGGUCCAGCUCUACCUGUCCUGUCCAGGUCUCAUUGGUGAGAAAGUGUCCUGGCGUUGAUAUUCGUCAGAC
RNAcentral lists this long non-coding RNA (376 nucleotides) under Cervus hanglu yarkandensis (Yarkand deer). RNAcentral's name for it is "lncRNA (ENSCHYG00000014770.1)". The record is from RNAcentral. Lineage: Eukaryota; Metazoa; Chordata; Mammalia; Artiodactyla; Cervidae.